Molecule: unclassified non-coding RNA, 41 nt
Filed under: Brochothrix thermosphacta
Lineage: Bacteria; Bacillati; Bacillota; Bacilli; Caryophanales; Listeriaceae
Description: L19_leader
Source: RNAcentral
ACGAUAUUCCGCUUUGCGUCAAUAGUGCGAAAGAAUGUCCG